GCGGUGUACAAGCGCGGACCGCAACGCAUCCAAAGCCAACAACAACUGAAAUAAACAAUCAUCGUAAUAGUGUGCUUGCCCAAAAAUAAAAAGCGCGUCGAGUGCAACGGUGUCACUAAAACAGACUGUUAACUUCAGUGCAAGCAAACAACCCCCGCGUCGGGCAACCAUUAUAAAUUAUACUAAAAAAAGCAGUUGUGUUCUUACCAGCGGUGGUUGUGAUGCUGGACGCAGACCAGCAAUGCAGCAGCUCUAACAAAAUCAAAUUUAACCGUUUUCGUAGAGUUUUUUGCGCGUAAAAUUGAUUGGAGAAAACCUACUUAGUGUGCAGCAUAAAAUUGAAAGAGCAAAACCGCACCGUCUCGAUUUAGAUAUAUAUCUCGUAGAUAUAUUGCCAGCUCCAUAUACAUGAAUGUAUAGCAACAAACAUCCAUAAUACCCAAUUAUAUAUGUAUAUACAUAUAUAUAAAUAUAUAUUUUGUACGAUUCGGCAAUACCAAAGUUUAACAUAAAUAGAACAAGAGGAAUAAUAAUAAUAAUAAUAAUAAGAAGAAGAAGAAGAAGCAGCAACAAUAACGGCGGCUGCAUCAGAA
This 593-nucleotide small RNA is filed under the name Drosophila mojavensis. RNAcentral describes it as "GI26617". The record is from RNAcentral. Lineage: Eukaryota; Metazoa; Arthropoda; Insecta; Diptera; Drosophilidae.